This 253-nucleotide ribosomal RNA is filed under the name uncultured bacterium. Its description in RNAcentral is "partial 16S ribosomal RNA". It matches the Rfam family "Bacterial small subunit ribosomal RNA", at positions 524 to 776 of the family's 1533-position model. The record is from RNAcentral.
GACGGAAGGUGCAAGCGUUGCUCGGAAUCACUGGGCGUAAAGGGUGCGUAGGCGGCUUGGUAAGUUGGGUGUGAAAGCCCCGGGCUCAGCCCGGGAAGGGCACUCGAAACUGCCGAGCUGGAGUGCCGGAGGGGAGAGUGGAAUUCCUGGUGUAGCGGUGAAAUGCGUAGAUAUCAGGAGGAACACCGGUGGCGAAGGCGGAUCUCUGGGCCUUACCUGACGCUCAGGCGCGAAAGCUAGGGGAGCGAACUGG